UACGUAGGGCGCAAGCGUUGUCCGGAAUUACUGGGCGUAAAGGGCGCGUAGGCGGUUCGUACAGUCAGACGUGAAAUUCCUGGGCUCAACCUGGGGGCUGCGUUUGAUACGUGCGGACUUGAGUGCGGAAGAGGGUCGUGGAAUUCCCAGUGUAGAGGUGAAAUUCGUAGAUAUUGGGAAGAACACCGGUGGCGAAGGCGGCGACCUGGUCCGAUACUGACGCUGAGGCGCGAAAGCGUGGGGAGCAAACAGG
This 253-nucleotide ribosomal RNA is filed under the name uncultured bacterium. Its description in RNAcentral is "partial 16S ribosomal RNA". It matches the Rfam family "Bacterial small subunit ribosomal RNA", at positions 524 to 776 of the family's 1533-position model. The record is from RNAcentral.